This 1266-nucleotide ribosomal RNA is filed under the name metagenome. RNAcentral describes it as "bacterial LSU rRNA". It matches the Rfam family "Bacterial large subunit ribosomal RNA", at positions 1638 to 2925 of the family's 2925-position model. The record is from RNAcentral.
AUGCCUGUACCAUAACCGACACAGGUGGGUAGGUAGAGUAUACUAAGGGGCGCGAGAUAACUCUCUCUAAGGAACUCGGCAAAAUGACUCCGUAACUUCGGGAGAAGGAGUGCCCUAUUUAUAAGGUUGCAAUAACAAGAUCCAAGCAACUGUUUAUCAAAAACACAGGUCUCCGCUAAGUCGUAAGACGAUGUAUGGGGGCUGACGCCUGCCCAGUGCCAGAAGGUUAAAGAAGUUGGUUAGUGUAUGCGAAGCUGAUGACUGAAGCCCUGGUGAACGGCGGCCGUAACUAUAACGGUCCUAAGGUAGCGAAAUUCCUUGUCGGGUAAGUUCCGACCCGCACGAAAGGCGUAAUGAUUUGGAUACUGUCUCGGAGAGAGGCUCGGUGAAAUAGACUUGUCUGUGAAGAUGCGGACUACCUGCACCAGGACAGAAAGACCCUAUGAAGCUUUACUGUAACUUGAAAUUGGAAUUGGACUUUGCUUGCGCAGUAUAGGUGGGAAGCGUUGAAGAUAUUCUUGCGGGAGUAUUGGAGCUAUCAGUGAGAUACCACUCUUGUAAUGUUAGAUUUCUAACUUUGAACCAUAAUCUGGUCAAAGAACAGUUUCAGGUGGGCAGUUUGACUGGGGCGGUCGCCUCCCAAAUGGUAACGGAGGCGUACAAAGGUUUCCUCUGAACGGAUAGAAAUCGUAUCUAGAGUAAAAGGCAUAAGGAAGCUUGACUGUGAGACCUACAAGUCGAGCAGGGACGAAAGUCGGUCUUAGUGAUCUGACGGUACUGAGUGGAAAGGCCGUCACUCAACGGAUAAAAGUUACUCUAGGAUAACAGGCUGAUCUCCCCCAAGAGUUCACAUCGACGGGGAGGUUUGGCACCUCGAUGUCGGCUCAUCGCAUCCUGGGGCGGUAGUACGUCCCAAGGGUUGGGCUGUUCGCCCAUGAAAGCGGUACACGAGCUGGGUUCAGAACGUCGUGAGACAGUUCGGUCCAUAUCCGGUGUAGGCGUUAGAAUAUUGAGAGGAGCCUUCUUUAGUACGAGAGGACCGAGAAGGACACACCGCUGGUGUACCAGUUAUCGUGCCAACGGUAAACGCUGGGUAGCUAUGUGUGGAGUGGAUAACCGCUGAAAGCAUCUAAGUGGGAAGCCCACCUCAAGAUGAGUAUUCUCAUCACUAUAAGUGAGUAAGGUCACGGUAAGACUAACCGUUUGAUAGGCAUUAAGUGUAAAUGUAGUAAUGCAUGUGCUGAGAUGUCCUAACAGACCGAGGAC